This 498-nucleotide ribosomal RNA is filed under the name uncultured bacterium. Its description in RNAcentral is "bacterial SSU rRNA". It matches the Rfam family "Bacterial small subunit ribosomal RNA", at positions 32 to 506 of the family's 1533-position model. The record is from RNAcentral.
AAUCAACGCUGGCGGCGUGCCUAACACAUGCAAGUCGAACGAGAAGGUGACUUCGGUCACUGGAUAGUGGCGUCCGGGUGAGUAACACGUAGGUAAUCUACCUUCGGGUGGGGAAUAACGUCUCGAAAGAGACGCUAAUACCGCAUAAUGCAGCGGCACCUAAUGGUGAUUAGUUGUUAAAGCGGGGGAUCUUCGGACCUCGCGCCUGAAGAGGAGCCUGCGGCAGAUUAGCUAGUUGGUGAGGUAAUGGCUCACCAAGGCUUCGAUCUGUAGCUGGUCUGAGAGGACGGCCAGCCACACUGGCACUGACACACGGGCCAGACUCCUACGGGAGGCAGCAGUGGGGAAUUUUGGGCAAUGGGCGAAAGCCUGACCCAGCAACGCCGCGUGAAGGAGGAAAUCCUUCGGGAUGUAAACUUCAUAAGUAAGGGAAGAAAGCUGCGGAUCGAAUAAGUCCGCAGUCCGACGGUACCUUACGUAAGCCACGGCUAACUACGU